AGGUUAAGUUAGAAAGGGCGCACGGUGAAUGCCUUGGCACUAGGAGCCGAUGAAGGACGGUACUAACACCGAUAUGCUUCGGGGAGCUGUAAGUAAGCUUUGAUCCGGAGAUUUCCGAAUGGGGAAACCCCCUAUCCGUAAUGGGAUAGGAUCUUUACCUGAAUACAUAGGGUAUAGAAGGCAGACCCGGGGAACUGAAACAUCUAAGUACCCGGAGGAAGAGAAAGCAAACGCGAUUCCCUGAGUAGCGGCGAGCGAAACGGGAUUAGCCCAAACCAAGAGGCUUGCCUCUUGGGGUUGUAGGACACUCUACACGGAGUUACAAAGGAACGAGGUAAAUGAACAGGUCUGGAAAGGCCGGCCAGAGAAGGUAAAAGCCCUGUAGUUGAAACUUCGUUCCCUCCAGAGUGGAUCCUGAGUACGGCGGGACACGAGAAAUCCCGUCGGAAGCAGGGAGGACCAUCUCCCAAGGCUAAAUACUCCCUAGUGACCGAUAGUGAAC
RNAcentral lists this ribosomal RNA (502 nucleotides) under Campylobacter coli. RNAcentral describes it as "partial 23S ribosomal RNA". It matches the Rfam family "Bacterial large subunit ribosomal RNA", at positions 1 to 495 of the family's 2925-position model. Lineage: Bacteria; Pseudomonadati; Campylobacterota; Epsilonproteobacteria; Campylobacterales; Campylobacteraceae. The record is from RNAcentral.